Molecule: long non-coding RNA, 1244 nt
Filed under: Olea europaea subsp. europaea
Lineage: Eukaryota; Viridiplantae; Streptophyta; Magnoliopsida; Lamiales; Oleaceae
Source: RNAcentral
GUGAUUGUUGCCCCCCGCCUCGCCCAAAAAAAAAAAAAAAAAAAAAAAGACAAAAAUUUCUAAACAUACAAGCUCCUUUUCUCUCUCCCCAGCUACCCCAAAUCAGCUCCCCUUCAACCCAUUUCCUCCCAAAAAAGAAAAUCACACAACGGAAAUUCUAAACGGAGAGGGACAGAUAGAAUUGGGGCGGCAAAACAUGAAGCCCUUUUUACUACUGCCGGCCAAGGUGCAUGUUUCUACAAAGAACCUGGCAUUGAAGCUCCCACUCCUCCAGUCCAGCCUAUUCUCCAUCUCCGGCACCGGGUCAUUACAUUCUACGAGGAACCCGGCAUUGAAGGUCCCACUCCUCCUAUCCAUCUUCUGCACUCCAACUUAUUCUCCAUUACUAGAUCUUUUUGUAACAGAUUUAGUUAGCAUUAUUGUAUAUAUACUACAAGCUUGUAUCAUUUCAUACAUAGAAAAAUAUACUGAAAUUUUGAUCCAUCUUUAUUUUUUGUGGAUAAUGUUGGCCAUUUUCUGAACUUUGCUUUGCAAAUGGGUAAAUGUUGAAGGUUUAAGGAGUUUUUAGGACUCCGAGAAUUUGCUAAAUAGUUUCUUCAGACUUUUUAAGUAUUUAUAAUUGCAUAAUUUGUGUAUAUUUUCUGUUUAUGCAUUUUUAUUUAAUGGAGAAAAUUUGGAAACUUGAAUUUGAGAUGAAGGCUGUAACUAGUGGUUGAAAACAUUUAUUAAUCCUAAAUGGAAAAUUGUAGAUGUCUAAAUCUGCGUUUAUUUGCUUCUUUCUUCUGUCUUCUUCCCUUUCUCUGUCUCUGUCAAAUCUCCUUCACGUCCCGCUUUAACAACUGACCGGAGCGGGGGGGGGGGGGGGAGGAGCGAGUAGACUGCUGGAAUUGAGCGACUGCCGGAGAUGGGAUGACGCCGGAGGUUCGAGGACUGUCGGAGCAGAGCGGCUGCCGGAGGUUAAUGCUUCGGAGAGGAGAUGAGUUUGAGAAAAAGGGUUUGAUUUGGGGAAAUUGGUGGAGAAACAUGAUUUUGGAUUUUAGGUUUUAAAGUUUUAAAGAUUUUAUUUUUUUUAUUUUUUUUUAACAUUAGUGCCACGUCAAUUUGUUAACCUGCACUUUGUAAGUCUAGCGGGAUUGACCAAAUCAACAUCUAGGACGUAGGUCCUAGCUGGGGAAAUUAAAUAUUUUAAGCCUUACAACACCGAUGUCAUUCCACAUACGUCCAAAUUGUUGUACCAAUUUUAA